This 4307-nucleotide long non-coding RNA is filed under the name Musa acuminata (dwarf banana). The record is from RNAcentral. Lineage: Eukaryota; Viridiplantae; Streptophyta; Magnoliopsida; Zingiberales; Musaceae.
UGGAUCCCAAUGAAGAUGAAAUGGCCUCUUGAUAGGAAGUGCCGUAUGACACUUGUAAUGCAGUUGCCUGUCCAGUCCUUGGCUCUUUCUCCUCUUGACCAUGCCUCCCUCAAAUCCUACCAUAGGUUUGAGUUUCCGGGGUGUUGUUCAAAGGGGAAUUUGAAGUUCAAUGGACUUGGAGUUCAGCUGUGUGUGUGAUUUUAAAUCGGUCACUGAGGGCUCUUUUAACCUGUUGAAAGUUACUCCACUUUCAUUGGUUUUGAAUAUCCUUUCUUUGGCAUUUUGCAUGUUGAUAGGAAUCUGUGGUCAAGAUCACUGUCCAUCCAUGGAGUUGAUUUCUGUGAUCACAGAUAGUGAAUGUUUUCUGUCAUUUGUUAUUUUAGAAUGCUGUUUUCUAUAUGGUCUAGGCAAUGCCAUUUGUUUUAUCUGUUAUGCAACUCGUUAUUGUUGUUAUAUUUGAUAGUCGGCUAUGCCAUGCAACUCUUAUUGUUCAUGUUUUUGUCAUAUCCCAUUAUCUUAUAAGCUACUGGUCUUGUAGCAAACCUAAAGCUUUACAGAGAUAAAAGUAAGUAGGAAUUAGUGGAUUCCCAUUUGCAUGAUGAUGGCUUACCUGGUCAUUGUUAGUUCAGAGAUAAAAAAAACAGUAAAGGUUUUUUAUGAAGGCUUUACAGAGAUAAACCUAAAGCUUUACAGAGAUAAAACCUAAAGGUUUUUUAAGGUUCAGAGAUAAACCUAAAGCUUUACAGUGGUAAAAGCUUUACAGAGAUAAAAAAAACAGUAUUAUGAAGGCUUACCUGGUCAGAGAUAAACCUAAAGCUUUACAGAGAUAAAACCUAAAGGUUUUUUAAGGUUCAGAGAUAAACCUAAAGCUUUACAGUGGUAAAAGCUUUACAGAGAUAAAAAAACAGUAUUAUGAAGGCUUACCUGGUCAUCGUUAGUUCUAUCAAAUGUUGGUUCAACUCUUAUUGCAUGUCUCUGUAACUGAUAUUUUAGUUUACUGUCAUUUGACUAUAAGGGUUGAAAUGUUCAAUUUUUAUUGACAUUAAUACCCUUUAGAACUUUGUCAAAUGAUCACUCUGUUUAAACUCCAAUAAUUUCUUAUCAGAUCAUAGAACUCUUAAUUCUUUCUAUUAUUGGUUUGAGUUCAUUGAUACUUCUGGGAUGAAGAAACUGUAUCCUGCAAGUGACGACAAGAUAGACAGGGACAUCUAACUCUUUACAGAGAAUGAUGACUUGGUCUAUGGGAAUCUCUCUGAUGCAUGAGACUGUUUUCUCCCCUGUCUAUUCUGUAUUUUGUGACUGUUUUUCUUCGAUGGCAUGAUGCUUUUUUGGUGCAUCUAUUCAAUAGGCAAUUGUAAUUGUAUCAUAUAAGUUCUGCCUGUGAUGCACAAAAAGUGCACGUAUUAUCAGAGGUGAUUAUGACUUUUUUUUCUCCUUUUGACCAUGCCUCCCUCAAAUCCUACCAUAGGUUUGAGUUUCCGUGGGCGUGUUCAAAGGUGAAUUUGAAGUUCAAUGGACUUGGAGUUUGGCUGUGUGUGUGAUUUUAAAUGGGUCACUGACGGCUCUUUUAACCUGACCAAACUUAAUCUGCUUUCAUUGGUUUUGAAUAUCCUUUCUUUUCUAAGGUGUGUUUUUUUAACUUUGUGGUCUGAAGCCAUGUCAACAGUAGCAUAUGCAUUGACUGGUGGUGCUAUGAUCGGGCCCAAAUUAAGUCCUGAUUUGGCAUGUUGCAUGUUGAUAGGUAUCUGUGGACAAUCACUGUUCACCCAUGGAGCUGAUUUUGUGAUCGCAGAUAGUGAAAGUUUUCCGUCAUUUGUUAUUUUAGAAUGCUGUUUUUUUUAUAGUCAGGCAAUGCCAUUUGUUUUAUCUGUUAUGCAACUUGUUACUGUUGUUAUAUUUGAUAGCCCGCUAUGCCAUGCAACUCUUAUUGUUCAUGUUUUUGUCAUAUCCCAUUGUCUUAUAAGCUACUGGUCUCGUAGCAAACCUAAAGUUUUAAAGAGCUAAAAGUAAUUAGGAAUUAGUGGAUUACCAUUUGUAGAAAUUAUCCUGCAUGUUUGUAUUUGAUUUGCUGAUAUUCAGGAAUUGGGCUUACCAGGUCAUUGUUAGUUCUAUCAAAUGUUGGUUCAACUCUUAUUGUGUGUAAACUCUUUAGAACUUUGUCAUUAUGAUCACUCUGUGUAAUGUUAAAUUUUUAUUGAGAUUAAAAACCCUUUAGAACUUUGUCAAAUGAUCACUCUGUGUAAACUCCAAUAAUUUCUUAUCAGAUCAUAAGAACUCUUAAUUCUUUCUAUUAUUGGUUUUUGAGUUCAUUGAUACGUCUGGGAUGAGAAACCGUAUCCUGCAAGUGAUGACAAGAUAGACAGGGACUCGGCACUCUUUACAGAGAAUGAUGACUUGGUCUAUGGGAAUCUAUCUGAUGCACAAGAUUGUUUUCUCCCCUUAGUCUAUUAUAUAUUUUUUGACUAUUUUUCUUCUACAGCAUGAUGUUUUUUGGGUGCAUCUAUUCGAUAUGCAAUUGUAAUUGUAUCAUAUAAGUUCUGCCCGUGAUGCACAAAAAAUGCACGUAUUAUCAGAGAUGUUGUGAUGAUAUAUUAGUUGUCACUACCGCUGAGGCAGUCAAUUUGAAGUGAUGCUAUUGCAUCUCUAGUUCAUUACUUCCUUUUUUGUUGGUUUGUUUGUUUGUUGAUCUGAGCUAGUAUGCAUUGAUCAUUUGAAUGAUAACUUGGUUCAUGCAUUGUCUUAACUAUGCAAAAAUUGUUUUUGUAAAACACUGUGACAAUGAAGUAUUAUUUUUGUAUAACACCCUGUCAUCUUUCAAGAUUCCACUACCUUAUAUAUGCGAUGUUCAUUUUAAUGUUCUGUGAAACUUUUGAUUUUAGGAUCUAAUCCACUUUUUAAACUCGUAGUACCUGAUUGGUUCAUGCAAGACUUGUGUCUUGCAUUUUCCUGUGAAUGAUUAGUGCCUAUGAUGGUUUUAAAUAUACUACGAGUGACUACAAUGAUAAGGACUUUAUCUGAGGCACAAUCAUCUGGUUUCACUUAUUUUUAUAGGUUAUUUGUAUUUUAAAUGUUUGUCUUUGUAAUAUGAGUAAUUUAGUUGGUGUUGUAUCUGCAAACGAACUUUCGAUGUGGGUUUUUCGUUCGGGAGCAUGUGGCAGGGUUCCUCAAGUUUUUAGUUUCAAUGCCUAAUUCUUCUGCCAUUAUUCUAGACCAAAUUAGUGUCUUACAGUCAUGCAAAUUAUUUGCAAUCCUUGUUUUAUCAUUUAAAUGUGUUUUAUUAUUUUUCCUUUUUUAUAUUUUUCGUGGAAGGAUUUCAUAGGGCCGCUUAACUUAGUAGGAUGGUUUCUUUGAAUGUUUGAAAUGUUCAUAUUUGUUAUUAUGACAUGAAUUUUUAAUGCUGAUUAUAAAAUUUGGCUCAGAUCUUGGUUAAGUGCCAAUUGCCAAGCACAAUGUCAUCCAGAUUUGGGAUCAACCACUAGGACUUGUUUCAAAGCUGGUGUGUUCACAAAGCAGAGAUUCUGGAGUUAUGUUGGCGCUGCUUUUAUCAAAAGAUUGUCAUAAAUAUCUAAAUUCAUGAUAGUAAUUUAUUUUGCUUUACAGUUUUAUGUUGACAUCUAUUUGUUUAAUGUAUUUUACAGCUAAACGAUCUUUGAAUAAGAAACUUGUGAAUAAAUUUAAAAUUUCUCAAAUAAUAAUUUUACUAAUAAUAUUUAGCUAUCUAUAACAAUAUGAAUGGGUCACACUUAUCCAAGAUGACAAAUGUUUAUAUGUUUUGUGUUUAUCAUCAUAUGAACGCUUAAGACAAAUUUUCUGAUAUAUGGAUUUUUCUAUAAAUUUUGGGUUUUGUGAUGUUAACUUGCAAUAAUAACCAAAAUUUAUCUAAUGCCAAUUGAAAUAUCUCCAUUUAUAUCGUCCGUGGUUUGACAACUGAUGUGUUGAGUUGAGAUUUAAUGUGGUGUUUAUUUUUAUUAGUUGGAAUUGAUAUUGGGAUGUUCAUAUGCAAGGUAUCAUCAUCAGCUGCUAACUUGUGAUCCAGCGUUGGCAUGAGUCAAUUGACAAAGUCAACCCAAAAGUUGAUUGAAGCUGAUAUUUAAGGAAAAUAAUGUCGGUAUAAUAGCAUUAUAGGUAUAUGUACUCUAUGGGGAGUAUGAGGUGAGAUCUUUGUACAUUGUAUCUAUCCUUAUAUAAAUGCACGUCAUUACAUCUUAACAUUUAAAUAUUCCACUUGAUUAUUACCAUUUUUAAUUUCUUAGCCAGGUAAAUAGAUAUAACAUGCCAAAUAACAACCCUUCUCAUGUUUGUGAAAG